GAGGGCGAGCCAAAUAUGUCUGAAAAUAUGCAGAAAAAAUAACUUAAAUUCUACCGCAUUAUAAUAAAUGUUCGUUACGGACGUUAUAAUGGAAGAAGAGAGUUUGGCGAAAGUCAUCGAAAAACAAGCAGACACAGCCACACUGUAGUUAGCUAGCUACCAGUCUAGUUUAACGCAGUUAAAUAGCAAAUGUUUGUUAGCGCAACCUUAGAAAUCUGUAUCGAGGCUUCAAAAUUCAGGUAGCGUUACAUAUUAAAAACGGGAAUAGGAAUGUUAAAUACUUCAGCUAGCAAAUUAAUAGUAGCUAACUAAUCAUUUAAAUUAUUAGCCAUGUCGGUUUGAAAACCGCCAUUUUUUCAGAAUAUGGUAGCGGGGAUACUGUUAGCUUUCUGCUGAAGGAAACUUUAGAAGAUAUUUUAAAUGUGCUCCCUGCGUGCUCUUCAGCAAUUUUGUAUUAUGCGAUGAUGGUGAAUAAAUGGAAUUCGCUUGCUAGCAAUCUUGUAUAGAAGUACUAACCGGAGGGAAAUGCAUCGCGUGCCGAGGGUUAGCUAGCAAUCUAGACAGCUAGCUAGGUGUUGCCAUGCCUAUGUAAUGAGAACCAGUUGGUAAAUUAUCGUUACUUUGUUGGUGUAAAUUAGACUAGAUAAUGUUCUGAAAAAUGUUAAUGAUGUGACUAUUAAUAUUUAGUUUAGUUAUCUAGUUGACUAUAUGCGCUACCCUAGUGUUACAUAGCUAUCAUUUAGUCUAUUAGAGUACUGUUCUAGCUUGCCAAUUAUUUGGCUGUGAAUCGGCAUCCUAGGUAAGCCUUUUAAAAACGUAGCGGGUAGGCAAACUAACUAGUGCUUAUAAUAAGUUAUAUCUGGUUAUUUGUAUAACAUUCGAUAUAUUUUGCACAUGGAUAUAAUGCCAUGCUGCUAGCAGCGUUCCUGGCGCAUGAUCCGUUUGAGCUGCUCGUAUUUUCCGGCUGGUUGUUGUCGCCUCUUUUUUUCAAGCUUGUUAGACAAGUUCGAGUAAAGCAUUUUAUUCUAUUGCAUAUAAUUUGAUUGCUGCAAAACGCCAUUUUCGCAACUAGGUAACAUUAGCGGGACUAAGUUUAGUUCCAAUUACGUACGGUAGCUAAAGGAAUCACUGUGAGUGAUGGAAUCUUGUUGCAUGGACUAUGUGGCUAGCUAUACGUGCGCUAGGUAACUAUUCCGUAUGCUAGCUUCAUAGUAUACCUAAACUAACAAGCUACAUUGUGAAAUAAUUAUGGCCGUUAUUUUUAUUAACUACUAACGUAGCUAGCUGCAUGUCAAAAGUAUUUUUGUUGCGUUUCCCUGAAUCACAAUCACAGCUGCCCACGUUACGAGUUCUUUUUGUUUUUUGUAUUUUUUGAGCAGUCACAUUUACUGAUCCUGCCGUUUCACAACCUACACGAGGAUGAACGUCCUUCUUUUUGGCCCCCUCAUUGGUUAAAAAUAGUUUCGGCGCUCCAGUUUGGUACAGGGCCCUGUCAAUCAAUACUUGAGGCGUCACUUCCUCCAUCAUGCUCGUAUGAGUGGGAGACCUUGGCCUUGUAAGGCUGUGUUGGAGGGGGAAGGGAAGAGUAGUGACAACAAAAUUCUUAGCUGUGUUGCAACACCUAACGGGAAUAAUAUACGUAAAAUUAAAAUAGGCCAUAUCACCUAAUUACUAAAUUUAGUGCGUAGUAAUGAUACCAAGGUGCAUGCACGUAUUUAGUGUCGUCCUGAUUCAGUAGCUUGCUCACAAGUAAUUUGCAUUCCUCUUGCGUCUGUAACGCGAAGAAGCGCAAUACUCGUCCCCUUUUCCACCACACGACCCCUUCUACCCUCAACAAGUUCCUGCUCCUUUGUUUGAAAUACCACUAGCUUGCUAACUUAGGUAGGAAACAACGUAGCCUUUUGUCUCGUGGCAUCAGCUCUUAUACGCUGAACAUAUCACCUAUCAUCAACUGUGCUACGCUGAACAUACAGACAUGCAACGUUAGCUAACUUAGCUAGCUUGAUGAUAAUAGGUCACCACUGUUAACGAGCUAUAACGAGUUGGAAUAUAAUUGAGUCAAUGGCCUAUGCUCCGAAGGAAGGCUGCUGUGAUCUAAGUGCUCAGCAGUUGCCACUAGUCGUUUUAAUACAUGUAGCUUAAACAUGGCUUUUAUGUCCGGUUGUCACAUUCACGUUUGAGAAUAAGUAAUACUCGUGGCACUUGUAUAUGGCAUAUUAGACCCUGACUUUAGAAACAGCGUAUUAAUAGUCAAUUUAAAAAAGGCAUAUCAGCAUUUUAUGGAAUGUGGGAGUUUUUUUUCCACCAAAUUGCAUGUUAUGGUGUGAAAAUAUUACCUGUUGGCCUGUUAGUUUCACAAGUAUUCAAAAAGUUUUACAUGAACAGAUUCAGAAAAUAGUGCAGAUCUUUCUUGAUCAUUCAUAUAUGACAGUGAUUUUGAAGUAAGAUUUGACAUUUAGUUGUCAGGGCCUAGAAUUGAGUCUUGCUCUUUUAGAGAUACAACCUGUCAGUCUUCACCUCACUAACUGUGUUUUUGUGCUGAAUUUUCUUGUGCAGCUGUGAACAAUCCUUAAAAUGUUGGAGGUGUGAAUUGUAAUGCAAGGAACAAUGUAAUUCUGAUUUUGAUGAAGCUUGUGCUGAAAUUUGUUAGAUUACUGGACAGUGCGAAUUAGAUUAUGUUUUUAUAGUGUUUUAAUGUGUUGUUUGUGGUGUUUGAUUAAAUAAUUUGUCCUUUUACGAAAAGUAAUGUUAAGUAUUGAUCAUUAACUUCUGUAUCAACAUAUGCACUUUAUAGUCAGUAGGAUUUUUGACAGGGAUAGUUUUUCUUUACUGUAUCUUACAGGAAGAUGUUUUAAUCCAUGUUACAGAGGGUUAUGAUUUUUAGCUCUCUUCAGAGAUGGUUUGCCUUGUAACUGUAACCUGGUAAGUAAUGAUGUAAAAUGUGCUUACACAUAAGGAAGAUAAGGAGGCUACAUGCCUUGAGCUUGCAAGCACAGAAGUGGGUUAUGUCCUUAGGCUUAAUCUUUCUGUUGCCAGAAUUAUCUUAAUAUUUAUAUGCCCUGCAUCCUCCAGGAUCCUAACCUUGGCUGUACACAAGGAGGGCGAAAGAUAGACCCCUACAGUGGUCUUGUCUAUGGUUUGUUUCAUUUUCGUUUGUUUUAUUUCUAUUACUCUCAUGUUUGCAUUGCAAUCAAGUGUGACUGGAAGUUACUUUAAAUAAUACUGAUGUAGUGCCAGUAUAUUACAGUCUGUGCAAUCCCUUGAUUUCAUAACUACCUUUUUCCUUAGGUUAACACUGUAAGUGUUUUCAUUGAUUUAGUCAGUUAAAGGAUAAACGGUUAAAAAAUAAAUAAAUCAAAGACAUGUCAAAACAAUAUCCAUGAUAAUAAUAGGUUAUGCAUGACCAACUGGUAUUUAUGGUAGAAAGUGUUUUUACAUGGUACUUUAGCACAAGCUUCAGAUGACCUUACAGGCACAAGUUAGUCCAAGUCUACUGAAGAUGAAGUGUGAAAUGGAAGGCAAAUUAUAUUGUUUUAAUGUAAGUGUUAUGGAGUACACUUGCACAUAUCACAUCAUUCACAAAUUAGGCUGGUAUUGUAAAUAUAACAAGAGCUGUUUCAGGAACAUCAUGGGACAAAGGAUGAAAAAUUUAAAGUUAAUGUCUCACUUUUAAAAUAAAACUCGUUAUCAAAGAACAUACGAUGUGAAAGUGAUUCCCCCCCCACUGUUGAUGUCUGGCUCCUUUUCAUGCUUGCCACGAAUUAGCCUGGCUGAUUUUACGAGAGUCUCCCGUGGGGGGCUUGUGUGAGGAGGGACAGAUUUAUGACACCGUGGUUACAUUGCUCAUCCUCUGACGCAGUCUGACUCAAUCAAUGGGGGAUGCACCAGCGGGUUCCAUUUACAGGCAGGUCCGUACGCUACCAAACAGGGACUAUCGGGUUUCAGUGGUGAGUACCCAAAUGUGCAGAGGAGUGCUCGUGAUAUCAGAAAAAGGAAAUAAAAAUGGUGGGAAGAAAUGGCUGCCGUUUCUGCCGCUGCCGUCUGAACGGCUGCACUCUGCCAAGGGCCCCUGUUAGAUUCUUUAUUGAGCUGCGUGGUCCUUUAUUGAGCUAAUCUAAUGGAGGCCCAGUGCCAGCGCCUCAGCGCUUCUCUGGUCCUGUCCCUCUGCCAGUUUCCCUUUCAUUUUUCUGUGCUUGGGGAUAUUUCGGACCAACCGCUCGCUCCCAUCUGUGUUGCGGGAUGCCGAAAUGCCCCCGUCGGAGGUGAAACGCCCUGUUUGCCAUUCGAUGCUAACGCUUGCUAGUACGGGUUCACGGAAGCCGAUCUGGGAUAGCUGCCAAGCCCAGGCAGAAUAUGAACGAUUGGCUAAAGAAAAAAAAAAAAAAAAAUCAUUCUUCGUAUUUGCUCUAAAGAGCAGGGCAGUUGGUGAAUGAGCGCAUGCAUGUUGUUUUUCUUUUACAAGUGUCCAUGUGGUCCUUAAGGCUUGAGCUCACCUUAUUUGAAAGACUGACUUGUGUGCUUUAGCAUAUUAACGUGGCUGAAUAAAGGCUCAUUUUGUGAGGGAAUUAGCAUGCAUCAGAAGGGCACGUCUUUUCAUGAAGUCUUUGUGCAAAGAUGUUCGUCCUGGCUCAGAUUUAGAUCAGGGCUGAAGAGAAAACACUCAAAGCAGGAACAGAUGAAGGGGAUUCCAAAUUUUGCCCAACAACAACCACCCCAGUUUUUGGGCAAACCUUUUGUAAAGGAGUACAGUUAGGCUCACUUUUUCAAUAUAUUGUUUGAUUACAGUUUCAAAUAGAAAAGCCUAUUUUUUAUCAGCAGUGUACUGAUUCUGUAAUGAGAGUGACUAAGAAUUAAUGAAGUGCGGAUGACAUAUUACUUAAGCCUAAAAAGCUAAAGCAAUGACCUGGGAAUGGUAUUUGCUCCUGCUCAUAGCCAAACGCUUUCUUUACUUAUUCACAAUACUGUAUAAACCUGUGCACAUUGAAAGCAGACAGUUUAUAAACAGACAAAAUGGCGUCCGAGUCAAAAACAGCAUUAAACUGUACAACGGCAGAGCAGUGUUUCUGCGGAAGCUUUGUUCCUGUGCACACUGCGCCUGUGCCCUUUAAAGCUGAAGAAAGAAAGUGAUAGAGAGAAGCAGAGGCAAAUUGUGAAGUCAUGGCUAAUCUUGACUGAGGAGCCAGGGAGCUGCCAAGGCAGGGGCACAAUAACAACAUGGCUUCCUUGGCGCAGUGAGAGUGCCAGCGGCAGGACCGGUCUUGCCAUUUCACCGUGCUGCACAGUGCUUUUUCAGGAGCUAGGAAACAAUCUGGACCAAAAAGCCAACCGCAGGCGAAUGCGGAAAGCAGCGGUUUUCUUUUGCCCGGCUUAUUUUCUUUUUAAAUUGCAGCUAAUUAAAUACAUAGUCUUAAUGUUUUAAAUUGCCAUUCUUAACGUAGUAUUAUCAAUUAAGUGGUGUUUAGGAUAGUCAGUACACCCGUUGACGGUAUUCCGUUUCUUUUGCAGUUAACCCUUUCUGUUUGUCACAGUUGCUGUGAAUGAAUGAAGCAGAUGGUUUUUGGCUUAGUCAUUUAAAAAAGAACCCUUACUGGAACUUCACACAGUUUAAAACAUUUUUGUAUUUAUAUUUAUAGUGUGAUAUAUUAAUAAUAAUAAUAAUAAUAAUAAUAACUAAAAACUUUAUUGUUCACAUAUUGUAGUAAUUUACACUACAACUGAUUGAUUGGGUAACACUGCAAAUGAUGUGUUUCUAUUGUUAUGUAGCAUAUGUGAUGCUUACUUUUUUCCUGACAGGUAGAGAGAAGCCAGUUGCACUGUGGGAUGAGGUAGUAGGUUGUAUAGUUUUAGGGUCACACCCACACUGGGAGAUAACUAUACAACCUACUGUCUUUCUCAAAGAGCCACAAAUUCUUCUGAAUCAUCACCACCUACAAAGAAUCACAUUGUGCAACUGACUUUUUUAUUUUACAUUUUAAAUUAAAUUUUUAGGAAUGCCAUGUGGAUAAAGCUGACCUUUUCUACAAGGUUGGCACUGAUCAGCAAGAUGCAAUGAGUGGGAAUGCUUUGGAUAAAUGAUUCAUGUCUCAUUGACUCAUUUAUUCCUUGCUCAGAUGAAUUUUCAGAAAUACUUCCAAAUGCUCAGCCAGUGUGAGGUAGUAGAUUGUAUAGUUGUGGGGUAGUGAUUUUUACCCUGUUUGGAAGAUAACUAUACAAUCUAUUGCCUUCCCUGAGGAGCAGAAAAGCACCACUUCUGUGUCAUUUUACGGACUUGUUUUUAAGCUUGUGAAUAUUCCUUUUUCCUGUUGUCAAUAUCAGUUAAGUGUUUGCUGGAGGCACAUUUUCUGCAUGCAGUAAAGAAGUGAGAGCAUGAGAAAAGAUGGGUGUGCGCUUCAGAUAUGACUUCAAUUCAGUUUGGAUUAUUGUGUAAACCUGUACCUGAGUGACCCUCCCCUUUGCAAAGCCAGGCUGCCUCUGGCUUGGCAGGACCCAGCUGUCCAGUAAACAUGCUUUUUCACAGCCCACAAAACCAGCCUUCAUUGAGGCUGACCUCAGGCCAGUACUCGCUUUUGUGCGCCUGCGUGUGUGGGUGUGUAAUGCAAUUGGUUGAGAACAGCAUUUGGCCUUGAAAUAAACGUAGCCGUAGCAGGAUAGAACUGGUCACUAUCGAUAGGUGUUCAUCUGGUCAAGAUUAUAAAGUGCAUACUGAAUGAACUUCACAGUUCAAGACCAAGGGCAUUCUGGGAGAAAAAGUACCCUUGGGGCUCCUGGGUAGAGGUAGCAGAUUGCAUAGUUGUAGGGCAGGGAUUUUGCCCCAGUGGAGAUAACUAUACAACCUGCUGCCUUUCUUAGGGCUUCACAAUCACAGCACAUUUGUGUUCUCCCUCUCCACAACGGAAACAUGAGAAACGCUAGCGCAUUGACGACACGCUCAUUCAGAGUAAAAUAUCCAGAGAGAUGGGCCACCGUCAAUGUAAUUUAUCAAAUGCAUUAAUGUGUACAUGGUUAUUUAAGUGUUAGGCAUAAAGAACGCAUUUAUCUGCUUUCAGACCCAUUGUAAAAUGGGUUUGCUGGGAUAGAAAGACCUCUGAAGGUUUGUCAUGAUAUACUUCUGCAUGUUUGGGUGAUGUCCAUUCAGACUAUAUGGUCAUCUUGGCCAUAUGUGAGCAGGCAGCAUGACCUGCUGGUUACAUACUUUAAUUUUCAAACAACAGCUUCAGAACGCACUUUUGGAAGUCAGUUGACCAGACUGUUAUGUGGGUUAGGCUGUACAGCAGUUGAUUGGUUGUAAAUGACAACCAGAAGUUUGUUUUGGUAACAAAGAACUGAUGUCCAUCCAGUGAUUUAUUUAAUUUAGGACACUCAUUCAGAGCACGUUUCUUGAACUUCUCAUGUCUGUUUAUACAUUUUAAUGUUUGCAUUUUUUGUCAUUCCAGAAUGGUUAAGAAUCUUAUUUUCUUUCAAUAAAGAACUGUAAAACUCA
Molecule: long non-coding RNA, 7480 nt
Organism: Anguilla anguilla (European eel)
Lineage: Eukaryota; Metazoa; Chordata; Actinopteri; Anguilliformes; Anguillidae
Exons: 2
Source: RefSeq, a predicted model, not a curated record